Molecule: long non-coding RNA, 839 nt
Organism: Lolium perenne
Lineage: Eukaryota; Viridiplantae; Streptophyta; Magnoliopsida; Poales; Poaceae
Source: RefSeq, a predicted model, not a curated record
CACGCCACCGAAACACGGGAGAGGAUAUGUCGGGCUAGGGGCGUGCAAUGUGCUGCUGCAAGCCGGCCACCAGCACGCGCAGUUCCACUCACUUCUCCACAUCGCCGCUGUCGCGCAUCUCCAGAGGCGCUUGCUCAAGGAUGUGUAUAGCAUGUUGAUCUGCUGGACAAUCAGUGUUUCAUGCUUCAGGGCCAGUGACGGGCAGAACAGAGGGAGGCUGCUUGGAUGUCUAGACAACAAUGAUAGCCAGUAGAGGCGGAGUGAAGAAAACUUGAGACUUAUUAUGCAGCACAAAUAAUAGAAGUGACAUUGGAAGGGUGACCUGGGUUUGCACCUUUGUCCUCCAUGGCGGGCGGCGGCAUGGCGGUGCUGUAGUUGGUGGUGGUGAGGUGGAUCUGCGACCAGCCGGCCCUCUUCAUCGACAUUCCCCGUCUCCUGCCGGCUUCCAGGUAUUCCCUAAUCUAUAAACUAUUUUGAUGCCUAUUUCUUCCUCUUAAGUUUCCAACAACUGAAGUGGUAUUGUAUGAACUUUGAAUCGAACAGAUAACUUUUUAAGAAGUAGCAUUUUGAGGUGUAGAUUUUGCAUCUACAUCCGAAAGGCUGUAUAGAAGUGUUAAUGUUCACAGUUUAGGUUACCAAUUCCAUCUCAACUUAUCAACAGUGUUGGAUCUAGAGUUUGAAGUGAGCAAAUGUCUAAUCUUCCAUUGGCUUUAAUCUGUUCCAUUUUGUUAUAAAUGUUCAGACAAGGAUUAAGGACCAAUGCUAAUGAAGAGAAGAAAAUUCAAAAAUCAAAGAAGCUAUUGAUACAACAGGAAAGAAAUUAAGAUAAUUUACCUGUA